RNAcentral lists this ribosomal RNA (254 nucleotides) under uncultured bacterium. RNAcentral's name for it is "partial 16S ribosomal RNA". It matches the Rfam family "Bacterial small subunit ribosomal RNA", at positions 523 to 776 of the family's 1533-position model. The record is from RNAcentral.
UAGCGUAGGGUGCAAGCGUUAAUCGGAAUUACUGGGCGUAAAGCGUGCGCAGGCGGUUGUGCAAGACCGAUGUGGAAAUCCCCGGCUUAACCUGGGAAUGGCAUUGGUGACUGCACGGCUAGAGUGUGUCAGAGGGGGGUAGAAUUCCACGUGUAGCAGUGAAAUGCGUAGAGAUGUGGAGGAAUACCGAUGGCGAAGGCAGCCCCCUGGGAUAACACUGACGCUCAUGCACGAAAGCGUGGGGAGCAAACAGG